AGUGAACGCUGGCGGUAGGCCUAACACAUGCAAGUCGAACGGCAGCACAGUAAGAGCUUGCUCUUACGGGUGGCGAGUGGCGGACGGGUGAGGAAUACAUCGGAAUCUACUUUUUCGUGGGGGAUAACGUAGGGAAACUUACGCUAAUACCGCAUACGACCUACGGGUGAAAGCAGGGGAUCUUCGGACCUUGCGCGAUUGAAUGAGCCGAUGUCGGAUUAGCUAGUUGGCGGGGUAAAGGCCCACCAAGGCGACGAUCCGUAGCUGGUCUGAGAGGAUGAUCAGCCACACUGGAACUGGGACACGGUCCAGACUCCUACGGGAGGCAGCAGUGGGGAAUAUUGGACAAUGGGCGCAAGCCUGAUCCAGCCAUACCGCGUGGGUGAAGAAGGCCUUCGGGUUGUAAAGCCCUUUUGUUGGGAAAGAAAAGCAGCAGGUUAAUACCCCGCUGUUCUGACGGUACCCAAAGAAUGAGCACCGGCUAACUUCGUA
Molecule: ribosomal RNA, 492 nt
Filed under: uncultured bacterium
Lineage: Bacteria
Description: partial 16S ribosomal RNA
Rfam family: Bacterial small subunit ribosomal RNA
Source: RNAcentral